RNAcentral lists this non-coding RNA (81 nucleotides) under unclassified sequences. RNAcentral describes it as "RAGATH-28 RNA". It matches the Rfam family "RAGATH-28 RNA". From Rfam's summary of the family: Clostridiales (Firmicutes). Nearby to self-cleaving ribozyme genes The record is from Rfam by way of RNAcentral.
ACAGGGUCGAUUCGUCCCCUGCGGAUUGCCCGGCGGGCAUAGCAGCGAAAAAACCAGGCUGAAAAGGCUGGAUGGCGAAGC